This is a long non-coding RNA of Anguilla rostrata (American eel), 372 nucleotides long. RefSeq lists it as uncharacterized. The transcript is spliced from 2 exons. The record is from RefSeq and is a predicted model, not a curated record. Lineage: Eukaryota; Metazoa; Chordata; Actinopteri; Anguilliformes; Anguillidae.
UUAUAAUGCCACCAUUAUUGGAUUUAUUUUUAUCAAGCCUGAAAUAAUAAUUCCUGGGUUUCAGUUUUCUGCCUCUCAGGGUCAGUUUGUAUUUUAUGUUCAGAGGAAUAAAGUGAGCACAUGAAAGGGACUCACUGAGCGCUGAUCCUAACCCUAAUCCCAACCCUGAUGCUAACCCUAAUCCUUACUCUGAUCCUAAUCCUAGGUAUAAAUUUAUAAUUCAGGUAGAAAUUGCUUUGUUUAAAUAUUGCUUUUGUUAUACUGAGAUCUCAAGCCAUGAUGACGAGAAAGCAACUUUUGUUGAGAUAAGUGCCACAGUUGCCAUGACAGCAGCUUAUCUCCAGCCAAGCAUGAGUCACACUCAGGAGGAGG